This 71-nucleotide transfer RNA is filed under the name Marmota monax (woodchuck). RNAcentral's name for it is "tRNA.Ala". Lineage: Eukaryota; Metazoa; Chordata; Mammalia; Rodentia; Sciuridae. The record is from RNAcentral.
GUGGUUGUGGCUCAGUGGUGGAGCACUUGCUUAGCCUGGAGGAGGCUCUGGGUUCAAUCCUCAACACCACU